CAGCAACCUGACAACUCUAUUGGAAUAGUCCCUGUUGCCUGACUUACAUGAACUGUUAACAAUGAAAAUGUAUUGAAAUUAUGCUGGAGAACCCCGCUUCUUGCUGGAUUUGAUGAAUCUUUACACAACCUUAAAGACAAACAGAGACAACUCUGAUGGCUGCCUAUGUGCCUAUAUAUACACAUACCUAGUGUUUGGUGAUGUUUAAGCCGAGCGGAGCAAAUUUCCGUUUGCUGUUUUCAUGGACUUUUCCAAGUCUCUCGAUAAUCUCCAACAAACAGAAUGGUUUCCUGAUACCUGGCCGUUAGGUCACCUAGCAGUCAGUUAAACUUAAGCCAAGCGAAGGAAAUCGCCAUGGUUAUUUUCAUGAUUCCUGUUUCUCCAUGUCUUACCACAAUUUUCAAUGUUCCGGAGAACUGACAGUGCCCCGCAGAGUCAUUACGUCUAGCCUCAAAAUACACACUAUGGAAUGCUUCUAUUUCUGAAAGAUUACGAAGGACCACACCACUCCAGACUCCUGUUCAAUAAUUUUAUUUCACAACUUUUGCUGUAACAAUGGCUGCUGUCUACUGCCACUUCAAAGUUCCUGUCCCACGGCUCUAUUUCUAGAAACCUGCACCCACAACAGCAGUGGUCUACAUUGAAUACUACUUAUAGGGAAAAUGACACUCAAGAUCUUCUUUUAUGUUAGGUAUCAAGGCGCAAGAAGAUGGAAUUAUAAUUGAUUAUUUUGAGAUGACACGUCUCAAAUAUGAAAUAAAUCCCCUAACAACGGCGAGAAGAAAACGAGUAAAGAAGACUGAUAAACUUAUUAAAUAGAAAAUAACUAUAAGGAUUUUUUUAUUAAGUAGACAAUAACUCUAAGGAUUUUUUUUUGUACAUAAUAACAGUUUGAAAAAUAAACGUUAGAUUUUA
This is a long non-coding RNA of Cydia pomonella (codling moth), 915 nucleotides long. RefSeq lists it as uncharacterized. The transcript is spliced from 6 exons. The record is from RefSeq and is a predicted model, not a curated record. Lineage: Eukaryota; Metazoa; Arthropoda; Insecta; Lepidoptera; Tortricidae.